GGGCUGCCCGUCCUGAUCAUAUUGUGAUAAUCCUACGAGGGCUUCCAGGUAGUGGUAAGAGCUACUUGGCAAAGAUGAUGCGUGAUCUUGAGGUUGAAAAUGGUGGUAAUGCCCCACGAAUUCAUUCAAUGGACGACUAUUUCAUGACUGAAGUUGAAAAGGUUGAGGACAGUGAUGCUUCAAAAUCUUCUAGCUUGGGUAGAGGCAAGAAACUAACUAUGAAGAAGGUCAUGGAGUAUUGUUAUGAACCCGAAAUGGAGGAGGCCC
This 267-nucleotide unclassified non-coding RNA is filed under the name Hevea brasiliensis (rubber tree). Lineage: Eukaryota; Viridiplantae; Streptophyta; Magnoliopsida; Malpighiales; Euphorbiaceae. The record is from RNAcentral.